Molecule: ribosomal RNA, 425 nt
Filed under: uncultured bacterium
Lineage: Bacteria
Description: partial 16S ribosomal RNA
Rfam family: Bacterial small subunit ribosomal RNA
Source: RNAcentral
GUGGGGAAUCUUGCGCAAUGGGCGAAAGCCUGACGCAGCCAUGCCGCGUGGAUGAUGAAGGUCUUAGGAUUGUAAAAUCCUUUCACCGGUGAAGAUAAUGACUGUAGCCGGAGAAGAAGCCCCGGCUAACUUCGUGCCAGCAGCCGCGGUAAUACGAAGGGGGCUAGCGUUGCUCGGAUUUACUGGGCGUAAAGGGCGCGUAGGCGGACAUUUAAGUCAGGGGUGAAAUCCCGGGGCUCAACCUCGGAACUGCCUUUGAUACUGGGUGUCUUGAGUAUGAGAGAGGUGUGUGGAACUCCGAGUGUAGAGGUGAAAUUCGUAGAUAUUCGGAAGAACACCAGUGGCGAAGGCGACAUACUGGUCCAUUACUGACGCUGAGGCUCGAAAGCGUGGGGAGCAAACAGGAUUAGAAACCCCUGUAGUCC